UCCGGAUUUAUUGGGUUUAAAGGGUGCGUAGGCGGUCGGAUAAGUUAGAGGUGAAAUCCCGAGGCUCAACUUCGGAAUUGCCUCUGAUACUGUUCGGCUAGAGAGUAGUUGCGGUAGGCGGAAUGUAUGGUGUAGCGGUGAAAUGCUUAGAGAUCAUACAGAACACCGAUUGCGAAGGCAGCUUACCAAGCUACUUCUGACGUUGAGGCACGAAAGCGUGGGGAGCAAACAGGAUUAGAUACCCUGGUAGU
RNAcentral lists this ribosomal RNA (251 nucleotides) under Salmonella enterica subsp. enterica. RNAcentral's name for it is "partial 16S ribosomal RNA". It matches the Rfam family "Bacterial small subunit ribosomal RNA", at positions 544 to 794 of the family's 1533-position model. Lineage: Bacteria; Pseudomonadati; Pseudomonadota; Gammaproteobacteria; Enterobacterales; Enterobacteriaceae. The record is from RNAcentral.